AGACGUAUUCCUUUAAGUUCAGGGCCUUAUUCAAGACCCGUAGGAAAUUUUUGCGGGACCCUCAGGAGAGGGCCU
RNAcentral lists this small nuclear RNA (75 nucleotides) under Dracunculus medinensis (Guinea worm). RNAcentral's name for it is "SmY spliceosomal RNA". It matches the Rfam family "SmY spliceosomal RNA". The record is from Rfam by way of RNAcentral. Lineage: Eukaryota; Metazoa; Nematoda; Chromadorea; Rhabditida; Dracunculidae.